CCUACGGGGGGCUGCAGUGGGGAAUAUUGCACAAUGGGGGCAACCCUGAUGCAGCAACGCCGCGUGAGCGAUGAAGGCCUUCGGGUCGUAAAGCUCUGUCCUACGGGAAGAAUAAUGACGGUACCUUAGGGGGAAGGCCCGGCUAACUACGUGCCAGCAGCCGCGGUAAUCCGUAGGGGGCGAGCGUUAUCCGGAAUCACUGGGCGUAAAGGGUGCGGAGGCGGCCUGGAAAGACAGGGGUUAAAUCCCUCGGCUCAACAGAGGUGAGCGUUUGAAACUGUAGGGCUUGAGUGCAGGAGAGGGGAGCGGAAUUCCAAGUGUAGCGGUGAAAUGCGUAGAUAUGAGGAGGAACACCAGUGGCGAAGGCGGCUCUCUGGACGGCAACUGACGCUGAGGCACGAAAGCGUGGGGAGCGAACAGGAUUAGAUACCCUAGUAGUC
Molecule: ribosomal RNA, 440 nt
Filed under: uncultured bacterium
Lineage: Bacteria
Description: bacterial SSU rRNA
Rfam family: Bacterial small subunit ribosomal RNA
Source: RNAcentral